This is a long non-coding RNA of Phlebotomus papatasi, 1160 nucleotides long. RefSeq lists it as uncharacterized. The record is from RefSeq and is a predicted model, not a curated record. NCBI's taxonomy places the organism in Eukaryota, Metazoa, Arthropoda, Insecta, Diptera, Psychodidae. The transcript has 3 exons.
AAUGUAUUUGGAUGUGAUAGCUGUUAAGUGACUAAUAUCUGAUUAGAUAAAUAUAUGUAUUUGUGAAUAUAUACGUAUAUAUAUUGCAUAAACUGAAUAAGAUGCUGAAACCAAAAGCAUUUUAGUCGCUAGUAAACAAGUGACCUACAAACAAGCCAUUCACAGAGGAAAAACAUUCUAUAAUAUUUCACUAAUCACAUUGGAUAAUUUUUAAUUUAAUUGGAAAAACAGUGCUAUUUUUUUAAAAGAUUAUUUUGAGACAGAAGAAGAAAUAUGAAUUCUUUUGAGGAAAAUCCUUUUGAUUAUUCAAUUACUAAACUUCCUGAAAAUGAGUAUUUUAAAAUAUCUUCGAUUGACAUUAAGGACACCUUUUUUGGCGAAAGACUAAUAGCCUACACUGAUGAUCCAUUAAGACGUCCUAUACUAAUUACUGAAUACAACACUAAGAAUAUUUUAAGCGUAUUAACGCUACAAGAAUUGAAUCAGGCUUGUGCAGAUUACUCCUUGGCGAUUGGCUUAAUUAGAAUGCAACCAUAUUUUGGUUUUGAGAGAGCUUAUAUGAAAUUCAAAAACAUAGAUCCGGAAAAAUUUCCGGAAGCUAAUGAAUUGGUGGAUAAAAUAAACAAGUGCAUUAAUUGGGAUAUAGAAGAAGAUGAUAAUAAAGAAGAAAAAGACGCCAAUGAGCAAAUGAGCGCUCUAAACAGAGCAUAACUAAUCUUGAUUUUAUUAUUUAAAAAAAAUAUUAUUUCAAUGGUUUUUUUUCUCUAUUAUAUAAUCUUUACAAUCUUUUCAACUUUAUGGAUUCGAAGUUUUAUGUUUUAUUUUCCAUCGUUGAUUUUACAGAAACAUUUUCUAGAAAUAUUCUCUGUUUUAUCGUGUUAAUGUGAUUAACAUUAAAAUUUUAAUGUGCAAGUAUGAUAACGCCGUAAAUCUCAUAUAAAAUCAAUUUCAGAUGAGUAAUGUUUUUUAUGGCUUCCAACCAAAAAUAUCAAUAAUUUUUUUAAUACAUUUUUUUUUAAAUAAAAGUACGAAAAUAAAAUAUAAUAAUUUAAAAAAAUGAAAAAAAAUAUCAUUCAUUUUUUUUAAUAAAUUAAGUUAAUUUCAUUUAAAUUUUGUGCAAAAAUUUAUAAGGAAAAAUAAAUUAAAUUGUGCUAAAUAAA